AUGGCAGUGAUGAUUGGCGCAGGGGUACGGACCUCAGCUAAAUCAUGGGAGCUGAAUGUGAACUCGACUUUUCCCAGUGUGACUGACAUUUGGUUUGUUGCCUGGAAACAAGUUCACAUGACAACUUUGCCUAGCACUGAGCCAU
RNAcentral lists this small nucleolar RNA (145 nucleotides) under Pelusios castaneus (West African mud turtle). RNAcentral describes it as "Small nucleolar RNA SNORD94 (ENSPCEG00000003800.1)". It matches the Rfam family "Small nucleolar RNA SNORD94". From Rfam's summary of the family: The members of this family belong to the C/D class of snoRNAs which contain the C (UGAUGA) and D (CUGA) box motifs. Most of the members of the box C/D family function in directing site-specific 2'-O-methylation of substrate RNAs. Lineage: Eukaryota; Metazoa; Chordata; Testudines; Pelomedusidae. The record is from Rfam by way of RNAcentral.